RNAcentral lists this ribosomal RNA (253 nucleotides) under uncultured bacterium. Its description in RNAcentral is "partial 16S ribosomal RNA". It matches the Rfam family "Bacterial small subunit ribosomal RNA", at positions 524 to 776 of the family's 1533-position model. The record is from RNAcentral.
UACAGAGGGGGCAAGCGUUAUUCGGAAUUAUUGGGCGUAAAGGGCGCGUAGGCGGCUAUUCAAGUGGCGGGUGAAAUCCCUCGGCUUAACCGAGGAACUGCCUGCCAGACUGGAUGGCUUGAGGCCGGGAGAGGUGAGUGGAAUUCCCAGUGUAGCGGUGAAAUGCGUAGAUAUUGGGAGGAACACCAGUGGCGAAGGCGGCUCACUGGACCGGUACUGACGCUGAGGCGCGAAAGCGUGGGGAGCAAACAGG